Molecule: RNase P RNA, 335 nt
Filed under: bovine gut metagenome
Description: Bacterial RNase P class B
Rfam family: Bacterial RNase P class B
About the family: Ribonuclease P (RNase P) is a ubiquitous endoribonuclease, found in archaea, bacteria and eukarya as well as chloroplasts and mitochondria.
Source: RNAcentral
UCUGGACAAACGCUGAGUAUUUUACUUAGAGGAAAGUCCACACUCACACUAUCUGUGAUGAUAGUACUGUUUGUGCUUAGGGAAAAAAUAACCUAAGGGAGGGAUUCCUUACGGCAUUCAUCAAAUCUAAGGAUUUAUCUAUGAUGAGAUGAAUAUAAAGUGCCACAGUGACGAAGCUAUUUAGAAAUGAAUAGAUUGAAACGCGGUAAACCCCACAAGUGAGAAACCCAAAUUAUGGUAGGGGAACUAUCUAAGGAGAAUCAGAAUCCAAAGAUGGAUAGCAUAUGCUAUAGAUAAAUGUUUGUCACCUUUUAGGUACAGAAUGUGGCUUAUAA